GAUGAACGCUGGCGGCGUGCUUAACACAUGCAAGUCGAACGAAGCACUUUAUUUGAUUUCCUUCGGGACUGAUUAUUUUGUGACUGAGUGGCGGACGGGUGAGUAACGCGUGGGUAACCUGCCUUGUACAGGGGGAUAACAGUUGGAAACGGCUGCUAAUACCGCAUAAGCGCACGGCAUCGCAUGAUGCAGUGUGAAAAACUCCGGUGGUAUAAGAUGGACCCGCGUUGGAUUAGCUAGUUGGUGAGGUAACGGCCCACCAAGGCGACGAUCCAUAGCCGACCUGAGAGGGUGACCGGCCACAUUGGGACUGAGCCACGGCCCAAACUCCUACGGGAGGCAGCAGUGGGGAAUAUUGCACAAUGGGCGAAAGCAUGAUGCAGCGACGCCGCGUGAGCGAAGAAGUAUUUCGGUAUGUAAAGCUCUAUCAGCAGGGAAGAUAAUGACGGUACCUGACUAAGAAGCACCGGCUAAAUACGUG
RNAcentral lists this ribosomal RNA (481 nucleotides) under uncultured bacterium. RNAcentral describes it as "partial 16S ribosomal RNA". It matches the Rfam family "Bacterial small subunit ribosomal RNA", at positions 28 to 507 of the family's 1533-position model. The record is from RNAcentral.